RNAcentral lists this long non-coding RNA (484 nucleotides) under Prunus dulcis (almond). RNAcentral's name for it is "sRNA ncRNA". Lineage: Eukaryota; Viridiplantae; Streptophyta; Magnoliopsida; Rosales; Rosaceae. The record is from RNAcentral.
CCAACAAAUUAGAAAACAUAGAAAGUCUGUUUUUUUCGAUUUUUUUUUUUUUUUUUCUACUCGUCUCAUCGCUCGAGCAACGCUUGCUCUGAGCUCAAGCUUCAAGCCUCCAUAGCAGAAGCUUGAAGCUUUGUUGCUCCCUCUCUCUCUCUCCAUCUCUCUCUUCUUCCCUGUCUCUCAUAAGUUACUUUUAGGGCUGGGCAUCUGAGCACUGCCCUCGCCGCCUCCUCCCGUCUCUGCGAUUCUGUCAGUUGAAGUCUCGGCGUCACACGCCACCGAACAGGCGCGCACCAUUGGCUCGUCGUGAGCUGGAGUUUCUCAUCUCUGAUCUCUACAAUCAUGUAGAUUUUUAGUUCCCUUUUUGUCCUUGUUACUGAAGAUUUGAUUUAUAGCUUAUUUAUAUCUAAUUUGAUUUUAUUUAUAUGAAUUCUUGUGUGUAACCUGAUUGAUUAUUUUUUCAUAGAAAGUGAUGAAAUGCUUUUAG